GAUGAACGCUGGCGGCGUGCAUAAUACAUGCAAGUCGAACGCUUUGUGGUUCAACUGAUUUGAAGAGCUUGCUCAGAUAUGACGAUGGACAUUGCAAAGAGUGGCGAACGGGUGAGUAACACGUGGGAAACCUACCUCUUAGCAGGGGAUAACAUUUGGAAACAGAUGCUAAUACCGUAUAACAAUGACAACCGCAUGGUUGUUAUUUAAAAGAUGGUUCUGCUAUCACUAAGAGAUGGUCCCGCGGUGCAUUAGCUAGUUGGUAAGGUAAUGGCUUACCAAGGCGAUGAUGCAUAGCCGAGUUGAGAGACUGAUCGGCCACAAUGGGACUGAGACACGGCCCAUACUCCUACGGGAGGCAGCAGUAGGGAAUCUUCCACAAUGGGCGAAAGCCUGAUGGAGCAACGCCGCGUGUGUGAUGAAGGGUUUCGGCUCGUAAAACACUGUUGUAAGAGAAGAAUGACAUUGAGAGUAACUGUUCAAUGUGUGACGGUAUCUUACCAGAAAGGAACGGCUAAAUACGUGCCAGCAGCCGCGGUAAUACGUAUGUUCCAAGCGUUAUCCGGAUUUAUUGGGCGUAAAGCGAGCGCAGACGGUUAUUUAAGUCUGAAGUGAAAGCCCUCAGCUCAACUGAGGAAUUGCUUUGGAAACUGGAUGACUUGAGUGCAGUAGAGGAAAGUGGAACUCCAUGUGUAGCGGUGAAAUGCGUAGAUAUAUGGAAGAACACCAGUGGCGAAGGCGGCUUUCUGGACUGUAACUGACGUUGAGGCUCGAAAGUGUGGGUAGCAAACAGGAUUAGAUACCCUGGUAGUCCACACCGUAAACGAUGAGUGCUAGGUGUUUGAGGGUUUCCGCCCUUAAGUGCCGCAGCUAACGCAUUAAGCACUC
Molecule: ribosomal RNA, 888 nt
Filed under: Weissella confusa
Lineage: Bacteria; Bacillati; Bacillota; Bacilli; Lactobacillales; Lactobacillaceae
Description: bacterial SSU rRNA
Rfam family: Bacterial small subunit ribosomal RNA
Source: RNAcentral